CUACGGGAGGCAGCAGUGGGGAAUAUUGGACAAUGGGGGAAACCCUGAUCCAGCCAUGCCGCGUGUGUGAAGAAGGUCUUAGGAUUGUAAAGCACUUUAAGUUGGGAGGAAGGGUUGUAGCUUAAUACGCUGCAACUUUGACGUUACCGACAGAAUAAGCACCGGCUAACUCUGCCAGCAGCC
RNAcentral lists this ribosomal RNA (183 nucleotides) under uncultured Pseudomonadaceae bacterium. RNAcentral's name for it is "partial 16S ribosomal RNA". It matches the Rfam family "Bacterial small subunit ribosomal RNA", at positions 339 to 516 of the family's 1533-position model. The record is from RNAcentral. Lineage: Bacteria; Pseudomonadati; Pseudomonadota; Gammaproteobacteria; Pseudomonadales; Pseudomonadaceae.